RNAcentral lists this ribosomal RNA (370 nucleotides) under Amapacylapus sp. UNSW ENT 00046064. RNAcentral describes it as "partial 16S ribosomal RNA". The record is from RNAcentral. Lineage: Eukaryota; Metazoa; Arthropoda; Insecta; Hemiptera; Miridae.
AGGGUUGGAUGAGGGAUGUACUUUCUUUGGUCUAUGGGAUAGAAUUUGAUUUUUAUGUUAAAAAGCAUAAAUAUUUUUAGGUGACGAGAAGACCCUAUAGAACUUCAUAUAUAUCGGUAUGUGGAUAUUUUGGUAAAUUUGUGUUCAUGUAUUUUUAUAUAUUUUGUUGGGGUGAUGGGAAAAAUAUUUUAACUUUUAUUGUGUUUAUCAUAUAUUUAUGUUUUUGAUCCAUUUUUUAUGAUUAAAAGAUUAAGUUACCUUAGGGAUAACAGCGUCAUUAAUUUGGAGAGUUCAUAUCGAUAAAUUAGCUUGCGACCUCGAUGUUGGAUUAAAUAGGGUGAUGGGGGGUAGGUUUUCGUUAACUAGGUCU